RNAcentral lists this ribosomal RNA (286 nucleotides) under uncultured bacterium. Its description in RNAcentral is "partial 16S ribosomal RNA". It matches the Rfam family "Bacterial small subunit ribosomal RNA", at positions 15 to 302 of the family's 1533-position model. The record is from RNAcentral.
GGUCCUGGCUCAGGAUGAACGCUGGCGGCGCGCCUAACACAUGCAAGUCGAACGGCACCCCUCUCCGGAGGGAAGCGAGUGGCGAACGGCUGAGUAACACGUGGAGAACCUGCCCCCUCCCCCGGGAUAGCCGCCCGAAAGGACGGGUAAUACCGGAUACCCCGGGGUGCCGCAUGGCACCCCGGCUAAAGCCCCGACGGGAGGGGAUGGCUCCGCGGCCCAUCAGGUAGUACGGGCGGGGUGACGGCCCACCGUGCCGACAACGGGUAGCCGGGUUGAGAGACCG